GAUGAAGAACGUAGCAAAAUGAGAUAAGUAAUGUGAAUUGCAGAAUUCAGUGAAUCAUCGAAUCUUUGAACGCACAUUGCGCCCGCUAGUAUUCUGGCGGGCAUGUCUGUCCGAGCGUCAUUUCAACCCUCAAGCCCCCGGGCUUGGUGUUGGGGAUCGGCGAGCCUCCGCGCCCGCCGUCCCCUAAAUCUAGUGGCGGUCUCGCUGUAGCUUCCUCUGCGUAGUAGCACACCUCGCACUGGGAAACAGCGCGGCCACGCCGUUAAACCCCCAACUUCUGAACGUUUGACCUCGGAUCAGGCAGGAAUACCCGCUGAACUUAAGCAUAUCAAUAAGCGGAGGA
Molecule: unclassified non-coding RNA, 343 nt
Filed under: soil metagenome
Description: partial contains 5.8S ribosomal RNA, internal transcribed spacer 2, and large subunit ribosomal RNA
Rfam family: 5.8S ribosomal RNA (bases 1-120)
Source: RNAcentral